Molecule: long non-coding RNA, 217 nt
Filed under: Elaeis guineensis (African oil palm)
Lineage: Eukaryota; Viridiplantae; Streptophyta; Magnoliopsida; Arecales; Arecaceae
Description: long non-coding RNA (EGUI_LNC042453)
Source: RNAcentral
GGGAUUGAAUUAGAGGAAUCCAAUCUGCCAAUUAUUGACAUUAUUGUGGCUACCUAUGUAUUGUUUAAUGACUAUGAUGGGAUGGGAUUUAUAUGGCGUCAUGCAAUGAGUUAUCUUAUUUAUCCAUAGGAAUCAUUCAAUCAUGGUCAUCACAUAUGUGAUUGGUGGACUUUAAUUUAGAGGAUGGACCUUAUAACUUACAUGCAAACUUUAAUUU